CAGAACUGGCUGUGAGUUUUCCCUGCCCGUCGGGUAGCCCGCAGUGAGAUUAAUGACGGAAUAAGCAUGUAGACCUCGUGGCAGAGGACUUGCGGACGCGAGUUCGAUUCUCGCCACCUCCACCA
Molecule: transfer-messenger RNA, 125 nt
Filed under: Gammaproteobacteria bacterium
Lineage: Bacteria; Pseudomonadati; Pseudomonadota; Gammaproteobacteria
Description: partial transfer-messenger RNA
Rfam family: transfer-messenger RNA
About the family: Bacterial tmRNA, also known as 10Sa RNA or SsrA, is named for its dual tRNA and mRNA-like properties. Its role is to liberate the mRNA from a stalled ribosome.
Source: RNAcentral